GACGAACGCUGGCGGCGUGCUUAACACAUGCAAGUCGAACGGAAAGGCUCCAGCUUGCUGGAGUACUCGAGUGGCGAACGGGUGAGUAACACGUGGGUGAUCUGCCCUGCACUUCGGGAUAAGCCUGGGAAACUGGGUCUAAUACCGGAUAGGACCGCACUUUGGUGUGUGUGGUGGAAAGGUUUUUCUGGUGUGGGAUGAGCUCGCGGCCUAUCAGUUUGUUGGUGGGGUAAUGGCCUACCAAGACGGCGACGGGUAGCCGGCCUGAGAGGGUGGACGGUCACAUUGGGACUGAGAUACGGCCCAGACUCCUACGGGAGGCAGCAGUGGGGAAUAUUGCACAAUGGGGGAAACCCUGAUGCAGCGACGCCGCGUGGGGGAUGAAGGCCUUCGGGUUGGAAACUCCUUUCGCUAGGGACGAAGCUUUUUGUGACGGUACCUGGAGAAGAAGCACCGGCUAACUACGUG
This 468-nucleotide ribosomal RNA is filed under the name uncultured bacterium. RNAcentral describes it as "partial 16S ribosomal RNA". It matches the Rfam family "Bacterial small subunit ribosomal RNA", at positions 28 to 507 of the family's 1533-position model. The record is from RNAcentral.